GAUGAACGCUGGCGGCGUGCCUAAUACAUGCAAGUCGAGCGAACAGACGAGGAGCUUGCUCCUCUGACGUUAGCGGCGGACGGGUGAGUAACACGUGGAUAACCUACCUAUAAGACUGGGAUAACUUCGGGAAACCGGAGCUAAUACCGGAUAAUAUAUUGAACCGCAUGGUUCAAUAGUGAAAGACGGUUUUGCUGUCACUUAUAGAUGGAUCCGCGCCGCAUUAGCUAGUUGGGAGGGUAACGGCUUACCAAGGCAACGAUGCGUAGCCGACGUCAGAGGGUGAUCGGCCGCACUGGAACUGAGACACGGUCCAUAGUCCUACGGGAGGCAGCAGUAGGGAAUCUUCCGCAGUGGGCGAAAGCUUGACGGAGCAACGCCGCGUGAGUGAUGAAGGUCUUCGGAUCGGAAAACUCUGUUAUUAGGGAAGAACAAAUGUGUAAGUAACUAUGCACGUCUUGACGGUACCUAAUCAGAAAGCCACGGCUAACUACGUG
RNAcentral lists this ribosomal RNA (497 nucleotides) under uncultured bacterium. RNAcentral describes it as "partial 16S ribosomal RNA". It matches the Rfam family "Bacterial small subunit ribosomal RNA", at positions 28 to 507 of the family's 1533-position model. The record is from RNAcentral.